AGGACGAACGCUGGCGGCGUGCCUAACACAUGCAAGUCGAACGGACGAGGGGAGCUUGCUCCCCAAGUUAGUGGCGGACGGGUGAGUAACACGUGAGCAACCUGCCCUUCGGAGGGGGACAACAGCGGGAAACUGCUGCUAAUACCGCAUAACGUAUCCUGGAGGCAUCUCCGGGAUACCAAAGAUUUAUCGCCGAAGGAUGGGUUCGCGUCUGAUUAGAUAGUUGGCGGGACAACGGCCCACCAAGUCUACGAUCAGUAGCCGGACUGAGAGGUUGAACGGCCACAUUGGGACUGAGAUACGGCCCAGACUCCUACGGGAGGCAGCAGUGGGGAAUAUUGGGCAAUGGGGGCAAACCCCCUGACCCAGCAACGCCGCGUGGAGGAAGAAGGCUUUCGGGUUGUAAACUCCUUUGACGAGGGACGAUAGUGACGGUACCUCGAAAACAAGCCACGGCUAACUACGUGCCAGCAGCAGC
RNAcentral lists this ribosomal RNA (478 nucleotides) under uncultured bacterium. Its description in RNAcentral is "bacterial SSU rRNA". It matches the Rfam family "Bacterial small subunit ribosomal RNA", at positions 26 to 518 of the family's 1533-position model. The record is from RNAcentral.